This 540-nucleotide unclassified non-coding RNA is filed under the name Lichtheimia corymbifera. RNAcentral's name for it is "sequence contains 18S rRNA gene, ITS1, 5.8S rRNA gene, ITS2, 28S rRNA gene". Lineage: Eukaryota; Fungi; Mucoromycota; Mucoromycetes; Mucorales; Lichtheimiaceae. The record is from RNAcentral.
GAUCAUUACUGAGAGGUCUAAAAAACCACUAGUUGGGGGUCUCUUCCCCUCUAGUAGUUCCUCACAGUUUUGUGCAAAGUCGGGUCAACUUGGUUGGCUCUGCCUUGUGCUGUAGAUCUGGUUGUUGGCAUAGAGACCCUCCUUUUAGGAGACUUGUGCCACUACUAAGAUCUAGGCUGCUUGAAAAGAGACGUAUGGACCCUUCUUUCAGGAGACCUAUGUCUCGAGUCAAAGCAAGCAAGGCAAGCCUUUGGGGCUCUAGUAYUAACUAUCCCCAAAGGUGUUUAUUCUUCUCGUGUAAACCAUGAUGUACGAAAAAGUUAGUUGUUAACUUAAAAACAACUCUUGGCAAUGGAUCUCUUGGUUCUCGCAUCGAUGAGGAGCGUAGCAAAGUGCGAUAAUUAUUGCGACUUGCAUUCAUAGCGAAUCAUCGAGUUCUCGAACGCAUCUUGCGCUAGUAGUCAAUCUACUAGGCACAGUUGUUUCAGUAUCUGCAACUACCCAUCAGUUCAACUUGGUUCUUUGGACCUAAGCGAGCUG